This 86-nucleotide transfer RNA is filed under the name Eubacterium sp. RNAcentral's name for it is "tRNA-Ser". It matches the Rfam family "tRNA". From Rfam's summary of the family: Transfer RNA (tRNA) molecules are approximately 80 nucleotides in length. Their secondary structure includes four short double-helical elements and three loops (D, anti-codon, and T loops). The record is from RNAcentral. RNAcentral also lists the same sequence under 1 other name. Lineage: Bacteria; Bacillati; Bacillota; Clostridia; Eubacteriales; Eubacteriaceae.
GCAGCGGUAUCGAAGCGGUCAUAACGAGGCGGUCUUGAAAACCGUUUGUCCGAAAGGGCGCGAGGGUUCGAAUCCCUCCCGCUGCG